CCUACGGGCCGCAGCAGUGGGGAAUAUUGGACAAUGGGCGAAAGCCUGAUCCAGCAAUGCCGCGUGUGUGAAGAAGGUCUUCGGAUUGUAAAGCACUUUCGACGGGGACGAUGAUGACGGUACCCGUCGAAGAAGCCCCGGCUAACUUCGUGCCAGCAGCCGCGGUAAUACGAAGGCGGCUAGCGUUGCUCGGAAUGACUGGGCGUAAAGGGCGCGUAGGCGGUUUAUGCAGUCAGAUGUGAAAUCCCCGGGCUUAACCUGGGAACUGCAUUUGAGACGCAUAGACUAGAGGUCGAGAGAGGUGUGUGGAAUUCCCAGUGUAGAGGUGAAAUUCGUAGAUAUUGGGAAGAACACCGGUGGCGAAGGCGGCAACCUGGCUCGAUACUGACGCUGAGGCGCGAAAGCGUGGGGAGCAAACAGGAUUAGAUACCCUCGUAGUC
RNAcentral lists this ribosomal RNA (440 nucleotides) under uncultured bacterium. Its description in RNAcentral is "bacterial SSU rRNA". It matches the Rfam family "Bacterial small subunit ribosomal RNA", at positions 338 to 795 of the family's 1533-position model. The record is from RNAcentral.